GAGUGGAAGCCAAACCACAAGCGGAGC
This 27-nucleotide non-coding RNA is filed under the name Homo sapiens (human). Lineage: Eukaryota; Metazoa; Chordata; Mammalia; Primates; Hominidae. The record is from RNAcentral.